This 449-nucleotide ribosomal RNA is filed under the name uncultured bacterium. RNAcentral describes it as "partial 16S ribosomal RNA". It matches the Rfam family "Bacterial small subunit ribosomal RNA", at positions 29 to 523 of the family's 1533-position model. The record is from RNAcentral.
AGCGAACGCUAGCGGCAGGCCUAACACAUGCAAGUCGAACGAACUCUUCGGAGUUAGUGGCGGACGGGUGAGUAACACGUGGGAACGUGCCUUUAGGUUCGGAAUAACUCAGGGAAACUGGUGCUAAUACCGAAUGUGCCCUUCGGGGGAAAGAUUUAUCGCCUUUAGAGCGGCCCGCGUCUGAUUAGCUAGUUGGUGAGGUAACGGCUCACCAAGGCGACGAUCAGUAGCUGGUCUGAGAGGAUGGCCAGCCACACUGGGACUGAGACACGGCCCAGACUCCUACGGGAGGCAGCAGUGGGGAAUCUUGCGCAAUGGGCGAAAGCCUGACGCAGCCAUGCCGCGUGAAUGAUGAAGGUCUUAGGAUUGUAAAAUUCUUUCACCGGGGACGAUAAUGACGGUACCCGGAGAAGAAGCCCCGGCUAACUUCGUGCCAGCCGCCGCGGUAA